RNAcentral lists this transfer RNA (95 nucleotides) under Sporichthyaceae bacterium. RNAcentral's name for it is "tRNA-Sec". It matches the Rfam family "Selenocysteine transfer RNA". The record is from RNAcentral. Lineage: Bacteria; Bacillati; Actinomycetota; Actinomycetes; Sporichthyales; Sporichthyaceae.
GGAGGCGUCUGGGGUCUGGUGGCCCCCGCGGUCUUCAAAACCGACGUGGUCGAGGAUCUCGGCCAGGCGGGUUCGAUUCCCGUCCGCCUCCGCCA